GAAGCCCGCCAGACCGCCGCUGGUGCAAGCCGUGGAAACACCGCACUGGAGGAACGUCCGGACUGCACAGGGCAGCGCAGGAGCUAACGGCUCUCCACCGCAAGGUGAGGAUCAGAGCAACAGAGACGAGUCGCCCGGGGACUUUGGCGCGCGCCGUGUGUGCACGCCGGGGCCGCCGGGCGGGUGAAACGGGCAAUCUCUGCGCGCAGCAACAUCAAGUAGGUUGGCUUUGAGGCGGCCCGCUGAGCCAACGGGUAGAUGGCGCCGAGCCGGGCGGGCAACCCCCGGCCCAGAUGGAUGGCGGUCACGCCAUGGCGCGCAAGCGCCGUGGCGCACAGAAUCCGGCGUACCGGCGGACUUCACAU
RNAcentral lists this RNase P RNA (365 nucleotides) under Burkholderiaceae bacterium. RNAcentral's name for it is "RNase P RNA component class A". It matches the Rfam family "Bacterial RNase P class A". Rfam says of the family: Ribonuclease P (RNase P) is a ubiquitous endoribonuclease, found in archaea, bacteria and eukarya as well as chloroplasts and mitochondria. Lineage: Bacteria; Pseudomonadati; Pseudomonadota; Betaproteobacteria; Burkholderiales; Burkholderiaceae. The record is from RNAcentral.